This 299-nucleotide long non-coding RNA is filed under the name Brassica napus (rape). RNAcentral describes it as "long non-coding RNA (BNAP_LNC011531)". The record is from RNAcentral. Lineage: Eukaryota; Viridiplantae; Streptophyta; Magnoliopsida; Brassicales; Brassicaceae.
AAACUAUUAAUUAGAAUUUAAGAAUAUAAGAAACUAAAAAACUUAAAUAUAUUAACAUUUUAAAACUAAGAAAUCUAGUUAUUUUAUAUUUCUAAAUUUUAAACUUCAUAAAUUAUAUAUAUUUAUUGAGAUCUUCGCUUAUUAUAUAUUACAAAUUUAAAAAUUUCAUAAUUUACAAGUUACUAAUUGUUUAACUUAUUUAUAUUACAAAUUUUUUAAACUUCAUAAACUACACAUUACUAAGUGAUUACUUAUUUAUAUUACAAUUUUAAAAAAACUUCAUAAACGACAAACUUACU